UCUUAUCAAGAGAAGCCGAGGGACUGGCCCGACGACGCUUCAGCAACCGGUGUAAUGGUUUAACCCAAACCAUGACCAAGGUGCUAAAUCCAGCAAGCUAAAAACAGCUUGGAAGAUAAGA
Molecule: non-coding RNA, 121 nt
Filed under: Bacillus velezensis
Lineage: Bacteria; Bacillati; Bacillota; Bacilli; Caryophanales; Bacillaceae
Description: SAM riboswitch aptamer (S box leader)
Rfam family: SAM riboswitch aptamer (S box leader)
About the family: The SAM riboswitch is found upstream of a number of genes which code for proteins involved in methionine or cysteine biosynthesis in Gram-positive bacteria. The SAM riboswitch acts at the level of transcription termination control.
Source: RNAcentral